CCCUUAGAUGUUCUGGGAUGCACGCGCGUUACACUGAUUCGUUCAACGAGUUUAUGACCUUGCCUGAUGAGGUGGGGGAAUCUUUUCAAAUCGCAUCGUGAUGGGGAUAGAGUAUUGUAACUGUUAGUCUUCAACGAGGAAUUCCUAGUAAGUACGUGUCAUCAGCUCGUACUGAUUAUGUCCCUGCCCUUUGUACACGCCGCCCGUCGCUCCUACCGAUUGAGUGCUCAGGUGAAUAGUAUGGACUGCAUCAGUGUUCGGUCUCCGAAUGUUGACGCGAGAAAUUCUGUGAAUCUUAUUGCUUAGAGGAAGGAGAAGUCGUAACA
This 326-nucleotide ribosomal RNA is filed under the name uncultured eukaryote. Its description in RNAcentral is "partial 18S ribosomal RNA". It matches the Rfam family "Eukaryotic small subunit ribosomal RNA", at positions 1470 to 1796 of the family's 1831-position model. The record is from RNAcentral.